Molecule: microRNA precursor, 98 nt
Filed under: Glossina morsitans morsitans
Lineage: Eukaryota; Metazoa; Arthropoda; Insecta; Diptera; Glossinidae
Description: microRNA mir-598
Source: RNAcentral
AGAUGAUAACGAUGUUGUUGAUGAUGAUGAUGAUGAUAAUGAUGACAGCAUCAUUAAAUGCAUCAAUAGCAUUUUCGACAUCAUCAGCAGCAUUUUGC